GACGAACGCUGGCGGCGUACUUAACACGUGCAAGUCGAACGGAAAGGCCCUGCUUUUGUGGGGUGCUCGAGUGGCGAACGGGUGAGUAACACGUGAGUAACCUGCCCUUGACUUUGGGAUAACUUCAGGAAACUGGGGCUAAUACCGGAUAGGAGCUCCUGCUGCAUGGUGGGGGUUGGAAAGUUUCGGCGGUUGGGGAUGGACUCGCGGCUUAUCAGCUUGUUGGUGGGGUAGUGGCUUACCAAGGCUUUGACGGGUAGCCGGCCUGAGAGGGUGACCGGCCACAUUGGGACUGAGAUACGGCCCAGACUCCUACGGGAGGCAGCAGUGGGGAAUAUUGCACAAUGGGCGGAAGCCUGAUGCAGCAACGCCGCGUGCGGGAUGACGGCCUUCGGGUUGUAAACCGCUUUCGCCUGUGACGAAGCGUGAGUGACGGUAAUGGGUAAAGAAGCACCGGCUAACUACGUG
RNAcentral lists this ribosomal RNA (468 nucleotides) under uncultured bacterium. Its description in RNAcentral is "partial 16S ribosomal RNA". It matches the Rfam family "Bacterial small subunit ribosomal RNA", at positions 28 to 507 of the family's 1533-position model. The record is from RNAcentral.